AGUGAACGCUGGCGGUAGGCCUAACACAUGCAGGUCGAACGGCAGCACAGUAAGAGCUUGCUCUUACGGGUGGCGAGUGGCGGACGGGUGAGGAAUACAUCGGAAUCUACUUUUUCGUGGGGGAUAACGUAGGGAAACUUACGCUAAUACCGCAUACGACCUACGGGUGAAAGCAGGGGAUCUUCGGACCUUGCGCGAUUGAAUGAGCCGAUGUCGGAUUAGCUAGUUGGCGGGGUAAAGCCCCACCAAGGCGACGAUCCGUAGCUGGUCUGAGAGGAUGAUCAGCCACACUGGAACUGAGACACGGUCCAGACUCCUACGGGAGGCAGCAGUGGGGAAUAUUGGACAAUGGGCGCAAGCCUGAUCCAGCCAUACCGCGUGGGUGAAGAAGGCCUUCGGGUUGUAAAGCCCUUUUGUUGGGAAAGAAAAGCAGCAGGUUAAUACCCCGCUGUUCUGACGGUACCCAAAGAAUAAGCACCGGCUAACUUCGUG
RNAcentral lists this ribosomal RNA (492 nucleotides) under uncultured bacterium. Its description in RNAcentral is "partial 16S ribosomal RNA". It matches the Rfam family "Bacterial small subunit ribosomal RNA", at positions 29 to 507 of the family's 1533-position model. The record is from RNAcentral.